Molecule: long non-coding RNA, 2718 nt
Filed under: Octopus vulgaris (common octopus)
Lineage: Eukaryota; Metazoa; Mollusca; Cephalopoda; Octopoda; Octopodidae
Source: RNAcentral
UUUUUUUUUUCUUAUAUAUUUAUUCCAAACAGUUCUUGUAGUUGGGGAUCUGGAAAUAACUUGAUAAUUUUUAUUAGACAAAAACUAAUAAACUAAAUCAACAGAUCAAGUCAGAAUUAAAACCUUGACUCCUCAGCCACAAGUAUCAACCUCCAAUCCCACACAAAAGACAGCAAUGAACAUAAGGAGAAAUUUCAAGAAACAAAUUACCUGUUUUAUUAUUAUUUUUUGAACCCCACACACACAGAUAAACUGAUAUAUAUUUUUGUUACCUUUCAUAGCUAGUUAUAUAUAGCCAUUUCAAAUAGAUUUAUCCAUCUAGGUGACAAUAAGAAUCCUUUCUAAUAUAGGCACGAGGCCUGAAAUUUUGGGAGAAGGGGCAAGUCAAUUGCAUCAACCCCAGUACUCAACUGGUACUUAAUUUAUCAACCCCAAAAGGAUGAAAGGCCCGAUAUUUUUGGGGAGGGGGCCAGUCGGUUAGAUCGACCCCAGUACACAACUAGUAUGACCCCGAAAGAAUGAAAGGCAAGGUUGACCUGGGUGGAAUUCGAACUCAGAACGUAAAGACAGAUGAAAUACCACGAAGCAUUUCGCCUGGCAUGCUAACCUUUCUGCCAGCUUGCUGCCUUCGCCUUAAUAAUAAUAAUAAUAAUGAUGAUGGUUCCUAAGUUGGGCACAAGGCCAGCAAUUAUGAAAGGAACAGGUUUCAUCAAUAUUAACAAUUCCAGUACUUGAACUUUAUUUUAUUGACAUGCAGAAGGAUCCAGGGCAAAAAUAAGCCUGUCGUUCUUUGAACGCAACGCUAAGAGCUGGAAGGUAUGCCAUAAGGCAUUAUAUUUCGCCUGAUGCUCAGAGAGAGAUUAUGGCAAGCCACCGAUAUUGAUGACGAUAGAUCUUAUUGCUUUUUAAACAGUAGCGUACAUAGUUUACAUCUAAAUAAUAGGCAGAGGAUGUGCAUAGGAACAAUAUUGAACAGCUUUAGAUUAGCAAGGGUUCAAUGACAAGAGUCAGUUUGUCAGAAUCCUGACAUAAAUGUUUCAAUUUUGAUUUAUCGUUUACAAAUAUAGGUGUGUGUGUGUGUGUGUGUGUGUGUGUGUGUAAUUAUAGCUACCCAAAUAAAUUACAUAAAACUACCAAUCUUUAAUACUGUUUUAAGUUACAAUAUUAAAAGAUGUAUAUUAAUAUAUGUUACACCCAAGGCUUACUUUCUGUCUUUAGACGGGUUGUCUUGCACAUAUAUGUAUAUAUAUAUAUAUAUAUAUACACGUAUAUACAAUACGUAUACCUUAAUAUGUAUAUAUUCCUAUCAUAUCUAUCACUUAAUAAUCAUAUGCAUGGAUAUAUAUAUAUAUAUAUAUACACAUACAUAUGCACAUAUAUAUACACACACACAUAUGCAUAUAUAUAUAUACAUACACACAUAUAUGCAUAUAUAAUACACACAUAUAUACAUACAUAGAAACAAACACAUUCAUAUACAUAUCCCUACACACACACACACACCAGUAUUACAUAUAUGUAUGUAUUAUACACAUAAUAACAGUGAAAAAUAAAAUUCUUUUAAAAGCUUACCAAGAGACCGAAGUAAAAUAUUUUGAUAAUAAUAUAAAAUUGUUAGUGUAUGAUUUAGCCUUAUUUUCUUUUCAAAAUAUUUGUGGCAUUUAAAGAUCAUCAUCAUCAUCAUUAUUAUCAUUAUUAUUAUUAUUAGAAUGCAACACUGUCAUCAUCAUCAUAAUCAUCAUCACAUAAUCAAUAUCCUUUCAUACAGUAAUUUACGCAAAAAUCUAUAAUGAGACACCAAAAAGACAACUUCAGAUGCCUAUUUCUGUUUUUUUUUUUUCCUUUUUUCUCUUUUUCUUGAUAUAUCAAUGUUACUGUAGAAUUGAGGAAGAAAUCAACAGAGGUGAAAGAGUGUUUGUUGGAAUGAAGGUUCAGGGAAGAGAUAGGGGUGGAAAAAAAACCCAACAAAAACAAGAAACUGAAGAAGGAGGACAAAGGAGAAGGGACAACGAAAGGGCCAUAAUAAAAUAAAUUUUAAAUUUUACACAAUCAGCUUUUUUUUUUGUCGAAGAAUUGAAGACUGUGCCGUUUCAUGGCCCCAGCAGAUGUGAAGUUACGAUAUUCAUGCCUUUUUUUUUUUUUUGCAAGGGCUUAAUUUUUUGGGUUUUUUUUUUUUUUUGGAAUUGAAGUGACUUAGUGACUUAGAGCUUUAAACAGGUUUAAGAAAAAGAAACCAGGAUCUUGGAUUAAUUCAAUCCAAUUCUUUUUGUGACUAGCUUCUUUAUUUUUACACAGCACCCCCAUCUCACCCCCGCCCACACAAAAACGGGUAUGGGAGGGAGGAGGGGACAUGGAAAACAAUAGGGGGGAAAGAACAAAAAAAAAAAAAAAUAAAAACGAGGAAGGGCAAAACACACAGACAGACAUCCCUUUGAAGUGAAAUUUUUGCUUUUUUUUUUGUUGGUUUGAUGACGGGUGGGGGGUUGGGGGCGUAGGUGGGGGGACUGGUUUGCUGGACACGAAAACGAAGAUAGAUAUAUAUAUAUAUUAGAUAUAAUCGUGUGAGAUGGUUGUGGCGGUUGUGGUGAUGGUGGUGGCGGUGGAGAGGAAGACAGGAAUAUUCAGUGAAUUUAUAAUAAUAAAAAAAAAAAAACAUUCAAGUAAAAAAAAAAAACGGAGAAGACAUCGAGGAAAAAAAAAACAAAAAAAAAAAAAAAA